This 468-nucleotide ribosomal RNA is filed under the name uncultured bacterium. RNAcentral's name for it is "partial 16S ribosomal RNA". It matches the Rfam family "Bacterial small subunit ribosomal RNA", at positions 28 to 507 of the family's 1533-position model. The record is from RNAcentral.
GACGAACGCUGGCGGCGUGCUUAACACAUGCAAGUCGAACGGAAAGGCCCUGCUUUUGUGGGGUGCUCGAGUGGCGAACGGGUGAGUAACACGUGAGUAACCUGCCCUUGACUUUGGUAUAACUUCAGGAAACUGGGGCUAAUACCGGAUAGGAUCUCCUGCUGCAUGGUUGGGGUUGGAAAGUUUCGGCGGUUGGGGAUGGACUCGCGGCUUAUCAGCUUGUUGGUGGGGUAGUGGCUUACCAAGGCUUUGACGGGUAGCCGGCCUGAGAGGGUGACCGGCCACAUUGGGACUGAGAUACGGCCCAGACUGCUACGGGAGGCAGCAGUGGGGAAUAUUGCACAAUGGGCGGAAGCAUGAUGCAGCAACGCCGCGUGCGAGAUGACGGCCUUCGGGUUGUAAACCGCUUUCGCUUGAGACGAAGCGUGAGUGACGGUAAUGGGUAAAGAAGCACCGGCUAACUACGUG